AGAGAAAUCUGUUCAGACCCGUUUUAUCCAGAAAUUUGUGUCUUUUGCAAAAAAAUAACAACUUUUGGAAAAAUGUGUGUGUUAGAAAAAUAACAGUUUUUCGGAAUGUUGAAUCUAAAGACAAAGCCGAGUGAACAACGACGGCACGAGAGACAUAUUCUUCUUAGCUCUUUAAGAAGUAAUGAAAGUGUUUCCUUAUAUAAGGACAACAAUUUCCCCUUCUUUUGUCGAUAUGGAGAAAUGACUUUUCAUUUGCACUUCAUAUUCUUUCUUUUCUUUUCCCAUCUACAUUUGCUAAAACCCAACGAUAGCUACAACGCACACAAACUCAAUAAUUUCUAUAUUUUUAUUAAAUGAUUUAUUCAAUAUAUAUUAAUACUUAAUUAUAAUAAUUAAGAUAAAUUAUGAGCUCAUAACAAAUUUAAAAUUCGUAAACUUUAUAUCCUAAAUUCCUAAUCCCGUCUAGUAGCAUAUAAUAUAUAAUGUAAUGAAAUGGAAAUUAAUAUUAUAUAGGAAGCUUUAUUAAUACCACAACUUUAGUUAAAUAUGUGUUAAGUUUAGUUAUAUUGUAUUGUUUGCUAAGAUUUUUUACAAAGCACUCAAGGUGCUUGACAAAAUGACUGACAGGAAAAAACACACCAAAAAGAGUACUUGUGUUCCUUUUUUUCCCCACCCAGUGUACCGAGCCCAGGUUGGAGUUUCGAUUAAAUUUGAAUCACGCUCUGUAUGGUUCAUUUGGGGUGGCGCUCCCAACAUGAUUUUCUCCAAACACAGCGCGAACCUGAGACCUUAGGUUAAGGUGAAACACUUUCACUAUUGUACCGCAACCCGUGUUGGUAGUACUUGUGCUCCUGAAUUUUUUUAUGACAAGGGAAAUCCGCAGCCGCUAUUCCUUCGGUGUGCACAGGGUAAAACCCUCACUUCCUAUGCAAUAACUCGCAAACCACAGAGGAGAAGUAACCCGCAGUGGGCAAGCCCGGUGCGACGAGUUCCACCCAGAAGGCAAACUUCGUACUUUCGCUGGCAAGGGGUUUCGAACUUGAGACCUCCAAUAUGGAAGUCUCAAGCCUAAACCGCUGGGCCACCCUGAAGGGUACUUGUGCUCCUGAUUUGAUAUGAAGAAAUGCAGUAAAUGGACAUGGAAUUGUGAAAAUGGAUGAAGUCUUGGAGAAGAUGGUGUCUAGGGAGUUAAAAGAUUGAUUCCCAGAUUGCCAAAUUGAUUGCAGGACAACCAUAACUCCGGAUACUCGAGCUCAAGCACCCUCCCCUGCUGCUUUUCAGAGGCCGAGCUAGAUGGAAGGUAUGAGUUCGGUAAAACCUAGUAAGUUUGGUCUAUACUCUUAAGAAAUUCACUAAAAAUAUGCGUAUAAUAAACUUCAAAUCAUGGAUCCGCUUUGAGGAGCAGGCUCUUCGAUCUUCACAAUGGUCAUUAUUUAAAAACCAAAAGUUUGUUAAUGACAAUUAUGUUUACCAAAGAAAAAUAUCAUCCUCCUCAUUGUAAAAAAACAACAACAAAAAGAACACUCCCAAAGUUCUGAGUUUCCAGCCUGUGCAUCAGAGCAGGACCAUUACUAUUUCUGUGGUCCUUAGUACUGUUAAUUUGUAGGUCUUAUAUUAUAGGACAAACUACUAUGUGGAUUUAGGCACAUCCAACGUGUAUCACAUGAUACGACUUCGUCUAAAUUAGUUUAAAUUUUUAAUGGACAGAUAUUAUUCUAAAAAAAAAUUACAAAUGUUCAAA
This is a long non-coding RNA of Solanum lycopersicum (tomato), 1741 nucleotides long. RefSeq lists it as uncharacterized. Lineage: Eukaryota; Viridiplantae; Streptophyta; Magnoliopsida; Solanales; Solanaceae. The record is from RefSeq and is a predicted model, not a curated record.